UACGGGGGGAGCAAGCGUUGUUCGGAUUUACUGGGCGUAAAGGGCGCGUAGGCGGCGUGACAAGUCACUUGUGAAAUCUCCGGGCUUAACUCGGAACGGUCAAGUGAUACUGUCGUGCUAGAGUACAGAAGGGGCAACUGGAAUUCUCGGUGUAGCGGUGAAAUGCGUAGAUAUCGAGAGGAACACCUGCGGCGAAGGCGGGUAGCUGGGCCGACACUGACGCUGAUGCGCGAAAGCCAGGGGAGCGAACGGG
Molecule: ribosomal RNA, 253 nt
Filed under: uncultured bacterium
Lineage: Bacteria
Description: partial 16S ribosomal RNA
Rfam family: Bacterial small subunit ribosomal RNA
Source: RNAcentral